RNAcentral lists this ribosomal RNA (274 nucleotides) under uncultured bacterium. RNAcentral describes it as "partial 16S ribosomal RNA". It matches the Rfam family "Bacterial small subunit ribosomal RNA", at positions 523 to 796 of the family's 1533-position model. The record is from RNAcentral.
AUACGAAGGGGGCUAGCGUUGUUCGGAAUCACUGGGCGUAAAGCGCGCGUAGGUGGAUCAAUUAGUUGAGGGUGAAAUCCCGGGGCUCAACCUCGGAACUGCCUUCAAUACUGUUGAUCUUGAGACCGAGAGAGGUGAGUGGAAUUCCUAGUGUAGAGGUGAAAUUCGUAGAUAUUAGGAAGAACACCAGUGGCGAAGGCGGCUUACUGGCUCGGUACUGACGCUGAGGUGCGAAAGCGUGGGGAGCAAACAGGAUUAGAAACCCGAGUAGUCC